This 7285-nucleotide long non-coding RNA is filed under the name Sus scrofa (pig). RNAcentral's name for it is "lncRNA (ENSSSCG00025048191.1)". Lineage: Eukaryota; Metazoa; Chordata; Mammalia; Artiodactyla; Suidae. The record is from RNAcentral.
GCAGAGUGCCAUAAUUUUAGUUCUUGAUUUUCUUUUUUUCUCACCUAUUUAUACUCAUUUUAUACUCACAUAUAUGUUGUCCUCAUCUAGUCUUGUGUCUUUGAAAACCCUUCAAGGCUGAUAGUUCCCAAACUGGUGUCACUAGCUCAGAAUUUUUUCUCAAAUCACAGAUUCAUCACUCCAUCUCUCUAUGAAUAUCUCCACUUGGGUGAACAGUAAAUAAUAAGAUGUCUCAAACACACACUGUCCACCUGAUAAAACCUUAGGUUUCUUUCUGCUCUUUCUAUGGAGAAUCUUUCUCAUCUCAUUGGAAGAUAACCCUGCAUUUCCAAGUUUGGGGAGAAAGACCUUGGGGUUAUUCUUGAUCUUCUCUUUCAUGCACACUCCACCAUCACAUCUUCAGGAAAUCCCUUUGGCUCUGUUUUUAAGAUAGAUUCAGACUCUAAAGUCUUCUCACUGCCUCCACCAUUACUAUGCUUCCUUUCCUACCUGGCCUCCCUGUUUCUAUUCUUGUUUUUCUACUAUCUGUUCUCAACAAUAGACAGGUUGAUUCUCAUAAAAUGUGAGUUAAUGGUUUCCCUUCUCUCCUAGAAUUCUGCCCGUGGCUGCCUAUUUCAUAAGCGCUGAGGCCAAAGUCCUUACAAGAUCUUACAUUUUCAGGCCCCUGAUUACCUAUUUGGUCUCAUUUCCUACUUAUCUCCCUCUUGUUCACUCAGUUCUAGUCAUUUUGCCUUCCUUGCUUUUCCUUGGACAUGCCAGGAAUUCUCCUAACCUGUGCACUGUCAUUUCCCUCUGAUAAGAACACUCUUCUCUUAAUUAUCAGACUCCUUCAAGUUUUAAUUCAAAUGGCAACUUUCCAAAGAGGCCUAUGCUGGGCACCCUAUUUAAGAUUGCUGCCAGUCUUUCCUCUGUUCCAGCUCUCCCAACCCCUUACCUUGCUCCAUUUUUUUUUGCCUUGCACUUAUAAUCUUGUAAUACUCUCUAUAAUUUACCUAUUUAUUAUGCUUUUGUUUUUUGACAGCCCCCACUUCACCCCACUGCCACUAGAAUCUAACUUCCACAAGGGCAGAAAGUUUAGUCUGUUUUGUUCACUGAUGUAUUCAAGAACCUAAGAAAGUGCCUGGCACAAGAUACAUGCAUGAUACAUAUUUAUUAUGUGAGUAAAUAAAUGAAUCUUCCACUUGAGAAAGUCAAAAUCAUCAUCAAAGAUACUAGAAAUUCCCAUUUCUAAUCACUACAAAUUAGUGACUUUCAUCUUGUUUAUACGAAAAAACAAUCAUUUAUCAUCUAACAGAUCAUGGAAAGAUUCACAAAACAACAAAAUAUGUAGUCUGGCACUAAACUAGUAAACAGCCAGUGUUAUUUUUCCAAUGAACAUCAGAGGACCUUUACCAAAAAUAGAAGGUCUUUGAUGCUGAGAUAUAAAUAAAAGCCAACACUCCAGCUUAAUUAGAUUUCGCAAUUCAGAAUAUGAACAAAUCAAGUCUUUGUAACUAUUUUCGAUGCUUAUUAAAAUACAUUAUUCAUAUUAACAUCAUAAAUCAUACUUGGAAUGUAUUCUUGAUUUGCUUUAUUAGUCCUGUGGUUGCAUAAAUGUAACUAUUGAUUGCUUUUAUAUUAUCUGAAAAUUGCUUAAACUUGUAGCUUCUAAGCUAAUGUUUCUCAAAAUGUGUUCUAAGAAACACAUUUUGGACUCCACGUUUCAUGAAAAUGUGGAGUCCAAGCUCAGGUGAGUUGGAAAGACACUGACUGAAACAGGUUUCUUUACUAAGGGGCUACAUUGUGAAUUUCAAUUUUUAAAUUUGAUGGGCAGCACUUCCUAAAGUUACUUGAUCACAGAACCUUUAGUCAAGGAUCAUUUUAACUUUGGGAAAUGAUGUUACACACAAGUAAUAUAUCAAGUACCAGAUAUUUGGUCAAAUUUGUGAUGGUGUUAUCUCUUCACAAAAGAUUACUUAGUGAUAGCGAUUUGUAGAAUAUUGGUUAUACAAGUAGAAAAGUUUGCAGAUGUCUGGAUAGAAGAUAUCCAAAACCUAGGUGGAAAAAUAAACAUUUAUAAUAUACUAACACAGAGGGCAUGGAGGUGUCAUGAUAGUGAAAACUAGAAGGAAAUGGUAAAUACAGAAGGAAUAAAAGUUGAGAAAAGGAUGGAGAGAGAGUUAAAAAAAAGACCAUAAUUGAUGCUUUUCUUUCCUGUUAAUGCAGCCAGAAUCCAGAUUUGGGACCAAAAAAAAGGAGAAAGCUCUAUGGAGAGCCCUGAGCCUGUGUCUUAGUGAAAAUGACAAGAGUGGAGGCCCCAGCUCUAGUCUUCACUCUUUUUCUUCCUACAUUUGUAUGAAAGUGAUCAAGAGUAAGCAAAAUGUGCAUUUCAUACAAUAUGGUUGCUUUUUUUUUUUUUUCCUAAGAAAAGAGCAAAUAGCCUCAGGAAAUCAGAUUCUUGUGACCUUUGUUACUCUUUAUUACUAAAGUAGUGUUCAUUCUCAGACUCUAAAGGACAUCUGAUUAGUAACACAUGGGUGACAUCAUUGAAAAAGCAUAAUCUGUGUGUCAUGAAAUGUUACUUGAAAAUAGUAGUGGGAAAAAGUUUUGUCAUUUGGGGAAGGAUGUCAAGAAAACAUCUCAGUCAGUUAUUUGUUGGAUUUAUUGGUGAAAAAAGCACACAUUUUUACUGAUUUGACUUUGGCUCAAUAUUGAACAAUUCGGGGCUACAAAACUGCACAUUGAGAUAUCGCUUAGCAUUUGAAAAUUAUGGUUUAUAUUUGACUAUGCUGCUAAAUGGCCUAUAAAGAAUUAUAUACAUUUGAUAUUUAAUAGGUUCAACAAAUAUACCCCCUGUUCCUGAGGAUGAUCCAUUUUAAGCAGAGCUGAGGGUGGCACAUUGCUCUUGAUGCAGAACCCAGGGGAGCACCUCUGAGCUGGCAGAGAAUCUCAGAAGCCUUCCGUUUUCUAUGACUUCAUCCUAAGAUUUAAUCUAGUUAAUCAAGGCAUCUUUUGGACUUGUAUAUCACUUCAAGGAGACAAUAGCCUUACAGAGCUUUCCACCAUACAGACUUAAUACAUGCUGCAGAGAAACUGCAGAACAAUUUAUUAUAUGUGAUAUCUUUAUUUUUAACAUUUUUUUUUGUCUUUUUAGGGCUGCACCCAUGGCAUAUGGAAAUUCCCAGGCAAGGGUUGAAUCAGAGGUGUAGCUGCCAGCCUAUUCUACAGCCACAGCCACAUGGGAUCCAAGUCACAUCUAUGACCUACGCUCACAGCAAUGCCGGAUCCUCAACCCACUGAGCGAGGCCAGGGAUCAAACCCACAUCCUCAUGGAUACUAGUCUGGUUCAUUACUGCUGAGCCAUGACAGGACCCAUGAUAUCUUUGAAAUAUCAAGAAGGUUGGGGAUUUGUAUUUAAGAAACUGAGGAUUGGUUCUUACAAUGAAUCCAUCAUCACUACUUGGAGGAAUCCCAUGUUACAAAGAAUGGAUCCUGCAGGUUUUUUCUUUGUGCUGAAAUCUGCCACGGGCAGGGGAGAAACAAGCUCUGGUCAACAUUCCAAUGAUGAUGGGCCUGGGAAACGGUCCCUCUGAAACUGGAUAAGAACCCAGUGAUUAACAGUACUUGAUGUUUUAAACAGUUAUGGUAAUUUAAAUGGCUGAUGUCAACAUUGCUACUAUCAGCAGCAACCUAAUGCUUCAAGUUUCGUUAAAAAUCAUGUAUUUGAAUUCACAUUUUCAUGUUGACUUGCUCAGCAAGUAGAGCACAGAAGUUACAGAUCCAGAUGGUGGAUGCCAUCAUGGCCUUGGAUGCACUGCCUGGAACCCCUUCAUAAAUGAAGAACUUAUUCUCUCGGCCACCAGGAUGCUGCUGGAAGAGGGCUCUUCCUUGUGGUUGUCUUAGCUCGAGACCACUGCCCUCCUUGGCGUAUAUAUCUCCUUCUAAUGACUGAUCGGCAUGGGAUGGAGGGACCUGGCUUUCUUGUCCUAACUCAGAACUAGGGAGUUGGAAGGGAUGCAAUUGGAAAGUUGGUGACAAUGACAUCUGGGGAAAAUAUGUGGAUAAAUCUCUACAAAUGGUCCCAGAGUAUAUGAGAGCUGUGUCUCUUGUGACCUCAGCAGAACUGGAUGAUAGGAUUUGUUUUGUUGAUAUGGGUCUCCCUUCUCCAGGUACCUCAUCUUGCCCAAGUGGCCAUGGUGGCAGGGAUCAAGGGCGCACAUGGGCUCAGCAAAAUAGAUGUCUGCUCACCGAGGCUAGAUGGCUGCAGCUCCUGCUGAAUGCUCCAUCUGCCAGCGCAGAGACCAGCGCAGAGCCUGCAAUGGGACACACUUCCCCAGGGGAUCGGCCAACCACGUGGUGGCAGGAUAAUUAAGCUGCAGCACUUCCAUCGAGGAAGGGGCUGCAUUUCAUUCUUGCUGGAAUAGAUUAUCACACUGGGUGUGGACUUGCUUCUCUUGCCUCCAAUGCUUCUGGAAAACCCACCAUUUGUGAACUCAUAGUCUGCCUUACCCACUGUCAUAGCAUCUGACACAUUAGCACUUCCCAGCAAGGAACAAAUUAUACUUAUAUGGAGCCAGGGGGUCCAUGCCCAUGGACUUCUCUGGUCUUAACUGUGUUCACCACCAUCAUGAAGCAGCUUGCUUGUAAAAUGUUGGAGUAGCCUUUGAUACAGUGAGUUAUGGUAUCAAUUAGGUGACAAUGCCACAUGGGGUGGGACAGUGUUCUCCCGGAGGCAAAAUAUGAUCUCACUUGGCAUCCAAUACACAGUGCUAUUCCUCCCAUAGUCACCCAUCUGGGAAUGAAGGGGUGAAAACAGGAGUGUCUUUGCUCAUUACAACCCCACAAUAUCCACUACUGAAAGUUAUACUUCCUGUCACUGCUACUUAAGGCUCUGCUGGUCUAGAGGCCUUAACUUCCAAAGGGAAGAAUGAUUUCUCAGGGGAACCCCAAAAUAGUUCUACUGAACUGGAAGUGAAUAUUGUCACUUGGUUUAGAAGGAUUUUUAAAAUUCCAAAUUUAUCUUCUUUUCUAGAAUUGUCUUCCAUCUCUUUGACUUCUAACCAAUGUUUAUUUUCUGUAGCUAUACUUAUAUUUACUUACAGAGAAAGAGAACAUAAGAGUAGCACACUCCUUCUUUGUCAGCUAUCAAGAGGAGAGGGACAUUAUUUUGUAACUCAAAGCAGUAGCAACAAAGCAGGAAAAGCUCAGGCUUUGAGCCAGAUGGGCAGCUGUGUUCAAAUCCCAGCUCCUUGAUCUACUAAAUUACUUAAUUUUUCUGAGACUUAGUUUUCUCAUCUGUCAAACAGGGAUAAUGAUACCUGUUAUAUAUCCAUGUGGUGAGUGUGAAAUAAUUAAAGCAGAAGCAAAGCACAUCUUGGACUCAGCCUAGUGCCUACUUGGUCAUCAGGAGGGACAGUGUUGGUUUACGCUUCCUGUCUUGCAAUCAUUAUCAUAAUGAUAUUAAUUAGGAUUUAUAACUCUGUUAAUGAUUAUAAUAAUUACUAAUAGCACACCAUUUCAAUCUCAGAAGUUAAGAUGAUGAAUUAGAUGUUCACUCUAAUCAUUGUCAAAUGUUGGUUUGCAUUUGCCACUCUUUUAUUGCUUAUUGUUGAGAAGAUUGCCAUAAAGUAGGUAGAAUUCAGAAGUAGUGUUUACCUAUGACUUGUAAACUCAGGUUUUGUUUUAUUUUAUUAUCAUUAUUAUUUUUUUGCUGCACCUGCGACAGAUCGAAGUUCCUGGGCCAGAGAUUGAAUCUGAGUUGCAGCUGCAACCUAUGCCACAGCUGUGGCAAUGCCAGUUCAUUAACUCAAUGGACCACAGUGGGAACUCCCUAAACUUAGAUUUUAAAUGAUUGCUGGAACUCCAAGUUUUAUUCUGAAUAAAAGAGAGCGUAGGUGUUGAAAUUUGACCAAUGAUGAAAACUGAUUACCUUAUUCCAAGGGUUGGCUUUAUUCAAGGGGAUGAUAAAACUGAUACCUUCCAUUUCAAUAGAGUCCUUGAAGAAAUCUUAUGAUAAGUCACAUUUAAACUUUAUGAUGUGAAAGGCUAAAAAAAUGUUCAGGAGAAUCAUUGCUGCCUCCCAUUUUUAAUCACUUUUUAAACUGGGAUUUCUUGUGCAUUUUUGCACACAAGGAAUUCUAGUGGGUAGGGUCCUCAGUGGCUUUCUUGGCAUGUUCACCAGAGGUGAGAAGUAGGCUCAUGCCCCUCCAUAGCCUCUGAGGAUGCGUUUCUUAUCCUUUCUUUGCUGGACAAUUUAGAGAAGAAUGAUCUGUCAGAGUAUUUAUAGAAGCCAUUAGCACGAUGAGUGAAGGCUUCGGAUAACUGAUGGCUCUUUAAAAAUAUGGCCUUAAGAAGAGGAAAGAGAAACUUGUAGGGUGUCUUCCAAAUAGCAGAUUGCUAUAUUUGGGUGGUCUGAGGAUUAUGACAAAUGUCAAGGACCACACACCGCACAAAAACAGCUCAUUAUAGCUGCACACGCAGAAUGCCAUGUUCAAGGUUGAGUGGCUGAUUUUGCUGCAAACACUAAUUUCCAGAUUAUACAAUUUGAAAUUUUUAAUUAGCCAUGAAUCCUUGUAGGGAUAACUUUGCUAUGCCUCUUUAUGUGUUGUAAAAAUAAGUCAGACUCUGCUUCAGCCACCCAAGACCUCCAAUAAAGGUUUCUGUGUGAUAGUGAUAGUUUCCUCUUCAAAUGCUAAUUUUGAAAAUUCAUAUUUCAGAAGAAUUAGUGGCUCAAUUCUGUGGUCAUUCUGCAUUUCUAAAUGUCAUUAAAAUUAAUGAAUUCUGAAAAUGAAAAGAAUAAAGCUGGUCUUUUCAGUUUGACUGAAAUGUUCCUAUUGAAUAACAUCAGAUCCAGUAAAUCACUUAAAUCUGUUGGUGAUACACACCUUUUAAAUGACUGUUGGAUUCAUGCACAAUACUUUUAUUGUUGAGGAUGUGGUGUGAACAGUAUGGAGGACAAAAUAAUAAAGAUUCAUUGAGUGUCCUGAGCUAUUUAGACUCAAUAUGCAUCAUAUUGAGAGAAUGCAAAAAUUCAAUGAAAUGCCAAAACCACCAUCGUUGGUAAUGGAGGCAUUCCAGAAAAGAUUGCAUUCUUAGGGAUGUCGCCAAAAGAUAUUUUAGUGUGUGUUUGUACACAAAAAUAUGAAUAAAUAUAUAUGGAAAAAUAGAAAGCAUAUACUAUAUAUGGAUAUAUAUUUAUAUUUGUAUAUAUAUAUUUAUAUUUGUGUGUAUAUAUAUAUAUUUAGAAUGUUACAACGGACCAGAUAAUAUAAUUCUAUGUAUUAAAUGCAGGGUUACAGAUGGACUA